Molecule: small nucleolar RNA, 135 nt
Organism: Artibeus jamaicensis (Jamaican fruit-eating bat)
Lineage: Eukaryota; Metazoa; Chordata; Mammalia; Chiroptera; Phyllostomidae
Product: small nucleolar RNA SNORA51
Exons: 1
Source: RefSeq, a predicted model, not a curated record
GGCCUCCUGGUGCUUACCACAGUCUGUGUUCUUACACUGCCUGUACAGGAGGAGGAGGAGGUAGAGUGAACCCACCCCAUGAACACCUCAGCGCAGGCCCUUUGCCUGGUCUGUAUUGUGAAUGGGGGGACACAG